GACGAACGCUGGCGGCGUGCCUAAUACAUGCAAGUUGAGCGAUGAAGAUUGGUGCUUGCACCAAUUUGAAGAGCAGCGAACGGGUGAGUAACGCGUGGGGAAUCUGCCUUUGAGCGGGGGACAACAUUUGGAAACGAAUGCUAAUACCGCAUAACAACUUUAAACAUAAGUUUUAAGUUUGAAAGAUGCCAUUGCAUCACUCAAAGAUGAUCCCGCGUUUUAUUAGCUAGUUGGUGAGGUAAAGGCUCACCAAGGCGAUGAUACAUAGCCGACCUGAGAGGGUGAUCGGCCACAAUGGGACUGAGACACGGCCCAAACUCCUACGGGAGGCAGCAGUAGGGAAUCUUCGGCAAUGGACGGAAGUCUGACCGAGCAACGCCGCGGGAGUGAAGAAGGUUUUCGGAUCGUAAAACUCUGUUGGUAGAGAAGAACGUUGGUGAGAGUGGAAAGCUCAUCAAGUGACGGUAACUACCCAGAAAGGGACGGCUAACUACGUG
RNAcentral lists this ribosomal RNA (497 nucleotides) under uncultured bacterium. Its description in RNAcentral is "partial 16S ribosomal RNA". It matches the Rfam family "Bacterial small subunit ribosomal RNA", at positions 28 to 507 of the family's 1533-position model. The record is from RNAcentral.